Long non-coding RNA from Spodoptera litura, 337 nucleotides. RefSeq lists it as uncharacterized. The record is from RefSeq and is a predicted model, not a curated record. NCBI's taxonomy places the organism in Eukaryota, Metazoa, Arthropoda, Insecta, Lepidoptera, Noctuidae.
GAGUGGUCUAACCGUUCUAACGUGCACAUAAAAAGUUUUUAUCGUCAAAAAUAAAGUAACACAUUAUUUUCAAAACUUAAUAAUACAAAUAGAUCAUUGUGUAUUAACAUAUAAAUAUGAAACUGUUGUCCGUUUUGUUGCUCGUGGUGGCGCUAUUCUCUGCGCUGGCGCAUGCCGUGCCCAUCAUACCGUUCAAGCCCGCAGAAUGCCCGUACGGGUACAAAUAUGAUUCCAACGGGAAUUGCUAUUGUCACAGACCCAACGUUUGCGGCGGAUCCAAAUGAGAAGCAACGCAGACAGAAUAUAAAGUCAUAUUAAUUAAUAAACUUGUUUGAUA